GGAGAUUUUGGAGCUCUAUUUACAAGAUAAACCAUUGGCAGAUGAUGUAGAUGUCAAAGCAAUUGCCCGUGGCACACCAGGCUUCAAUGGAGCAGAUCUAGCAAACCUAGUUAACAUUGCUGCCAUUAAAGCUGCUGUUGAAGGUGCAGAGAAGUUAACUGCCGCACAGUUGGAGUUUGCAAAAGAUAGGAUAAUAAUGGGCACUGAGCGGAAAACAAUGUUUAUAUCAGAAGAAUCAAAGAAGGUAACUGCAUAUCAUGAGAGUGGCCAUGCUAUCGUAGCCUUCAACACUGAUGGUGCGCAUCCAAUUCACAAGGCAACAAUAAU
Molecule: unclassified non-coding RNA, 327 nt
Filed under: Hevea brasiliensis (rubber tree)
Lineage: Eukaryota; Viridiplantae; Streptophyta; Magnoliopsida; Malpighiales; Euphorbiaceae
Source: RNAcentral